Molecule: long non-coding RNA, 724 nt
Filed under: Jatropha curcas
Lineage: Eukaryota; Viridiplantae; Streptophyta; Magnoliopsida; Malpighiales; Euphorbiaceae
Description: long non-coding RNA (JCUR_LNC000704)
Source: RNAcentral
GGGGUGGAGGUGGGCAUGGCACUGGAGGUGGCGGAGGAGGGCAUGGUGUUUCAGUUGGCGGUGGCUUCACAACAGGAGGCUUUGGUGGUAGAGUUGGCGGUGCUGGUGUUACCGGCGGCGUAGGAUAAUACGGUGGUGUAGGGGUAACAGGAGGCUUUGGUGGUAGAGUCGGAGGCUUGAUCACCGGUGGUUUUGGUGUCGGUGUUACCGGAGGGGUAGGAUAAGGCGGCGGAGUUGGGGUAACAGGAGGCUUUGGUGGUAAAGUUGGUGGGGAAAUGAUUGGUGGUUUGGGUACAUAAGGUGGUGGCUUUACAGUAGGAGGCUUUGGUGGUAAAGUUGGUGGGGAAAUGAUUGGUGGUUUGGGUACAUAAGGUGGUGGCUUUACAGUAGGAGGUUUUGGUAUAUGGGGUGGAUAUACAAUUGGAGGCUUGACAACCGGUGGUUUGGGUACGGUUGGUGGUUUGACAACGGGUGGUUUGGGUACAUAAGGUGGCGGCUUUACAGUAGGAGGUUUUGGUACAUGGGGUGGAUAUACAAUUGGAGGCUUGACAACCGGUGGUUUUGGUACGGUUGGUGGUUUGACAACGGGUGGUUUGGGAACCACCGGAGGUUUGGGUGGCUUAGGUGGGUAGUGUUUGGGAGGUUUAUGGUGAGAGGGUGGCUUUACCUUAGGAGGGUGUUUGGGUGGGAACUUAGGAGGAUGCUUCGGUGAAGGUGGAGUUGG